UACGGGGGGGGUAAGCGUUGUUCGGAAUUACUGGGCGUAAAGGGCUCGUAGGCGGCCAACUAAGUCAUACGUGAAAUCCCUCAGCUUAACUGGGGAACUGCGUGUGAUACUGGAUGGCUUGGAUUUGGGAGAGGGAUGCGGAAUUCCAGGUGUAGCGGUGAAAUGCGUAGAUAUCUGGAGGAAUACCGGUGGCGAAGGCGGCAUCCUGGACCGGCAUUGACGCUGAUGAGCGAAAGCCAGGGGAGCAAACGGG
This 253-nucleotide ribosomal RNA is filed under the name uncultured bacterium. RNAcentral describes it as "partial 16S ribosomal RNA". It matches the Rfam family "Bacterial small subunit ribosomal RNA", at positions 524 to 776 of the family's 1533-position model. The record is from RNAcentral.